UAUACUGCAAGUCGAGCGGACAGAUGGGAGCUUGCUCCCUGAAGUCAGCGGCGGACGGGUGAGUAACACGUGGGCAACCUGCCUGUAAGACUGGGAUAACUUCGGGAAACCGGAGCUAAUACCGGAUAAUGCUUUUGGACUCAUGUCCUUAAGCUGAAAGAUGGUUUCGGCUAUCACUUACAGAUGGGCCCGCGGCGCAUUAGCUAGUUGGUGAGGUAACGGCUCACCAAGGCAACGAUGCGUAGCCGACCUGAGAGGGUGAUCGGCCACACUGGGACUGAGACACGGCCCAGACUCCUACGGGAGGCAGCAGUAGGGAAUCUUCCGCAAUGGACGAAAGUCUGACGGAGCAACGCCGCGUGAGUGAUGAAGGUUUUCGGAUCGUAAAACUCUGUUGUUAGGGAAGAACAAGUAUCGGAGUAACUGCCGGUACCUUGACGGUACCUAACCAGAAAGCCACGGCUAACUACGUGCCAGCAGCCGCGGUAAUACGUAGGUGGCAAGCGUUGUCCGGAAUUAUUGGGCGUAAAGCGCGCGCAGGCGGUCCUUUAAGUCUGAUGUGAAAGCCCACGGCUCAACCGUGGAGGGUCAUUGGAAA
Molecule: ribosomal RNA, 598 nt
Filed under: Bacillus sp. CH457a_14D
Lineage: Bacteria; Bacillati; Bacillota; Bacilli; Caryophanales; Bacillaceae
Description: bacterial SSU rRNA
Rfam family: Bacterial small subunit ribosomal RNA
Source: RNAcentral